RNAcentral lists this long non-coding RNA (510 nucleotides) under Oncorhynchus mykiss (rainbow trout). RNAcentral's name for it is "lncRNA (ENSOMYG00000075026.1)". Lineage: Eukaryota; Metazoa; Chordata; Actinopteri; Salmoniformes; Salmonidae. The record is from RNAcentral.
AUGUUGCACACCAAAACUACAGCAGUUCUCACAGCGUUGCAACCCCUUCCACCGCAACAAUGUUGCACACCAAAACUACAGCAGUUCUCACAGCGUUGCAACCCCUUCCACCGCAACAAUGUUGCACACCAAAACUACAGCAGUUCUCACAGCGUUGCAACCCCUUCCACCGCAACAAUGUUGCACACCAAAACUACAGCAGUUCUCACAGCGUUGCAACCCCUUCCACCGCAACAAUGUUGCACACCAAAACUACAGCAUAACGGUGUUAAUGUGAUACGUAUCAAAAUGUACAGCCUCCGUCUUCCCAGGAGACGCAGGUCUCUGCUUCUCCGUCUUCCCAGGAGACGCAGGUCUCUGCUCCUCCGUCUUCCCAGGAGACGCAGGUCUCUGCUCCUCCGUCUUCCCAGGAGACGCAGGUCUCUGCUCCUCCGUCUUCCCAGGAGACACAGGUCUCUACUCCUCCAUCUUCCCAGUAGAUACAGGUCUCUCCAUCUUCCCAGUAGAUAA